GAAAUGCGAUAAGUAAUGUGAAUUGCAGAAUUCAGUGAAUCAUCGAAUCUUUGAACGCACCUUGCGCUCCUUGGUAUUCCGAGGAGCAUGCCUGUUUGAGUGUCAUUAAUAUAUAUCAACCUCUCUUGUUGAGUCGUUUGGAUGUGGGGGGUUUGCUGGCCUGUUCAGCUCCUCUGAAAUACAUUAGCAGAACAACCUGAUUCAUUGGUGUGAUAAACUAUCUACGCUAUUGAAUGCAAGGUGCAGUUCAGCUUUCUAACGGUCCUUGGACAAGUUAUCAAUUAUGUGACCUCAAAUCAGGUAGGAUUACCCGCUGAACUUAA
Molecule: unclassified non-coding RNA, 323 nt
Filed under: uncultured Cortinarius
Lineage: Eukaryota; Fungi; Basidiomycota; Agaricomycetes; Agaricales; Cortinariaceae
Description: sequence contains ITS1
Rfam family: 5.8S ribosomal RNA (bases 1-105)
Source: RNAcentral